This 629-nucleotide ribosomal RNA is filed under the name uncultured Clostridium sp. RNAcentral's name for it is "bacterial SSU rRNA". It matches the Rfam family "Bacterial small subunit ribosomal RNA", at positions 28 to 686 of the family's 1533-position model. Lineage: Bacteria; Bacillati; Bacillota; Clostridia; Eubacteriales; Clostridiaceae. The record is from RNAcentral.
GAUGAACGCUGGCGGCGUGCCUAACACAUGCAAGUCGAGCGAUCUUCUUCGGAAGAGAGCGGCGGACGGGUGAGUAACGCGUGGGUAACCUGCCUCAUACACAUGGAUAACAUACCGAAAGGUAUGCUAAUACAAGAUGAUAUAAGAGAUUCGCAUGGAUUUCUUAUCAAAGCUCCGGCGGUAUGAGAUGGACCCGCGUCUGAUUAGCUAGUUGGUAAGGUAACGGCUUACCAAGGCGACGAUCAGUAGCCGACCUGAGAGGGUGAUCGGCCACAUUGGAACUGAGACACGGUCCAAACUCCUACGGGAGGCAGCAGUGGGGAAUAUUGCACAAUGGGCGAAAGCCUGAUGCAGCAACGCCGCGUGAGCGAUGAAGGCCUUCGGGUCGUAAAGCUCUGUCCUCAAGGAAGAUAAUGACGGUACUUGAGGAGGAAGCCCCGGCUAACUACGUGCCAGCAGCCGCGGUAAUACGUAGGGGGCUAGCGUUAUCCGGAUUUACUGGGCGUAAGGGUGCGUAGGUGGUUUCUUAAGUCAGGAGUGAAAGGCUACGGCUCAACCGUAGUAAGCUCUUGAAACUGGGAAACUUGAGUGCAGGAGAGGAAAGUGGAAUUCCUAGUGUAGCGGUGAAA